AACGCUGCGCGUUAACGUGUCUCGCAACCAAGUGUUUGCACUUUGGCUUUUUCGAACAAUAAGAGAACGAGAACGAGAACGAGAACGAGAACGAGAACGAGAAGAAGAAGUGACUCGCGUGUCUUUAGUGGGGAAAAGAAAAAAUAAAAAAAAAAAAAAAAAACCAUCAAGUAUUUGUCGGCUACGGGUUGACGAACUUGAAAGAUUCAGGAACGCGAUAAUUCUCGUCCAAUGGAAUAAACAGCAAGUGCUCUUUCGUUUUAAAAAUAAACGGAAAUCAAGUGAAAAUGAAAAGUAUUUCGAGCCGAAAGGGCUUUCGAGCGUAGCUAAUUCGGUAAGGACGCGAAUACGAAGUUGGUUCAGAGACAACUGGGAAUAUUCGGUCGAAACGAUUCAAAGUGACGUAAAUAAUCGUUUGAAAUGGCGCGGCGAAUAAAAACCGUUUCCGUUCGAGCAAACUCGUUGCAUCAGUUUGCCUUACCUUGUUCGCUUUUGCUCGCGAUGCAUCCCCCGAGGCGAGUCAAUUUCAGAAGGAGAGAAAUGAAAAUAUCUAUUCGUCGAAACGACAAGAAAACUACGCCAAGCAGCCUGGUAUACAUAUAAAUCAACCCGUUAUGUGUACAUACUUACUCGCUCCUCGACGAGGACGCGACGCGACAUGGGGUUCGCUGCAAACAAUUUGCCUGAAAUUGCCGUACGUGCGCGAUUCGUGGAGAUAAGCACUGGAGAGAACGGAAACGGCUCUCUUGAGGACACGACCAAGCGUCAUCUCGUUGCUACCCUCGCUACCUCUUCUUCGUGUCUUACAAAAAUUUCCCUCCACGUUACUUUGCACACUUGUCAACUUUUACCAAAGACCGAGGAAAAAAGAAGGUUGAUCGUCUACUUUGCUUAGAAAUUCUCCAAUUAUCAUUUUUUUCGCCUUUCUUAACUCGUUCAACUUGAACGGUAACUGAAAACUAACACUUUCCUCAAACGUACACUAAUUUUUAGAAACACAGAAAAAUAUAAAAUUUUCAAUUUCA
Long non-coding RNA from Osmia bicornis bicornis, 1025 nucleotides. RefSeq lists it as uncharacterized. The transcript has 2 exons. The record is from RefSeq and is a predicted model, not a curated record. Lineage: Eukaryota; Metazoa; Arthropoda; Insecta; Hymenoptera; Megachilidae.